RNAcentral lists this non-coding RNA (102 nucleotides) under Bacillus sp. (in: firmicutes). Its description in RNAcentral is "Bacillus sp. Guanine sequence". It matches the Rfam family "Purine riboswitch aptamer". Rfam says of the family: Riboswitches are metabolite binding domains within certain messenger RNAs that serve as precision sensors for their corresponding targets. RNAcentral also lists the same sequence under 1 other name. The record is from RNAcentral. Lineage: Bacteria; Bacillati; Bacillota; Bacilli; Caryophanales; Bacillaceae.
UAGGGUUAUUUACGUUACCUUCAUAUAUCCUCGAUGAUAGGGUUCGAGAGUCUCUACCGGGCUGCCGUAAAUGGCCUGACUAUGAAGGCAGAAAGUUAUUCA